RNAcentral lists this ribosomal RNA (465 nucleotides) under Vreelandella stevensii. Its description in RNAcentral is "partial 16S ribosomal RNA". It matches the Rfam family "Bacterial small subunit ribosomal RNA", at positions 338 to 795 of the family's 1533-position model. Lineage: Bacteria; Pseudomonadati; Pseudomonadota; Gammaproteobacteria; Oceanospirillales; Halomonadaceae. The record is from RNAcentral.
CCUACGGGUGGCAGCAGUGGGGAAUAUUGGACAAUGGGCGAAAGCCUGAUCCAGCCAUGCCGCGUGUGUGAAGAAGGCCUUCGGGUUGUAAAGCACUUUCAGUGGGGAAGAAAGCCUUGGGGCUAAUACCCUCGAGGAAGGACAUCACCCACAGAAGAAGCACCGGCUAACUCCGUGCCAGCAGCCGCGGUAAUACGGAGGGUGCGAGCGUUAAUCGGAAUUACUGGGCGUAAAGCGCGCGUAGGCGGUCUGAUAAGCCGGUUGUGAAAGCCCCGGGCUCAACCUGGGAUCGGCAUCCGGAACUGUCAGGCUAGAGUGCGGGAGAGGGAGGUAGAAUUCCCGGUGUAGCGGUGAAAUGCGUAGAGAUCGGGAGGAAUAACAGUGGCGAAGGCGGCCUUCUGGACUGACACUGACGCUGAGGUGCGAAAGCGUGGGUAGCAAACAGGAUUAGAUACCCUUGUAGUC